CAGAAUGUGGGGUGCCUGGCACCUCUUAACGCGCUUCGCCUCUGCGACCAAGGGCCACGGCUUGCUUCUAGGCAACCUGAGAGGCCUCUGUGGGGAGCAGGGAUGCCAGACCCACCCAGAGAAACAGGGGGUUACCUGGAGCCCCUCCACCGUGCAACUCGGCCCCUGGGAAAUAGAGGCAAAGUGUUUGGGCUGCCUGCCUGUUGACAUAGGGGACAAGGAGAUCUGCCCUCUCUCACUACUGGAGAGAGGGAGGGAGGAGGAGCUGGGAUCUCCCAACCGCACACAUGCCCUGGAUAGUGAAAGGACCCCCUGAAAUAGGAACGAAUAGCAUCCUCAUCACACCGAGGAGGAAAUGGAAGCACAGAGAGGUAAAGUUACUUGGCUAGGGUCCCCAGCUAGUAAGUGGCAGAGCUCUGGAAUCUAAGCUCCUCACAGGUAACCAACAGGAAGUCUCCAGCAGAGGGUCUGGCUCCCAGAAUGUGUUCCAGGCACGGCUGAGGAUAUGAUGAUGGCAGUUGCUAUUACCUCACCUGAA
Herpailurus yagouaroundi (jaguarundi) is the source of this 538-nucleotide long non-coding RNA. RefSeq lists it as uncharacterized. The transcript is spliced from 2 exons. The record is from RefSeq and is a predicted model, not a curated record. Lineage: Eukaryota; Metazoa; Chordata; Mammalia; Carnivora; Felidae.